CAGUACGCUGAUUGCCACUUGAGAGCAUCCGCCAGGAUCCCCGGCAGCAGGCACUCGGAGGAAACGCUGCGUGGGCACUUGUUUAAGGAGUACCUGACUAAACAAUUGGGUUAUUCUUUAACUGCAGGAGAAGUGCCUGUAUUCCCUUCACGCAAGCUCCCUACUGGCUUUCUGCAUUCUUAAUUUAUCGGAGCCCUUCCUCCCUCCGUCUCCCUCCCGAGACUUCUUUUCCUUUCCUUCCUUUUAUUCUAGUUAUUUAUUUUGAGCGUUUUCACCCCCCAAAUCUCUGCUGCAUCACCAGCUCUCAUUAUGCUGUGCUCGGUAGCCCGGUGUGCUCCCCGCCUCUGCUAGGCAGUGGCAGCAUGGAUGGUGCUCUUGUGACGACCUCUGCUGAUGCUAUCAGUCCACUGCGGAUAGGCAUGCUGAGUAAUCCUGCUGUAAAUGGGCGAGGACACGGACACACGAAAAAUUAACCACAGCUUUCUUCGAGACCACAACUAUGUGACUGAAGCUGAUAUUAUUUCUACAGUUGAGUUCAACCACACUGGAGAACUGCUGGCUACUGGUGACAAGGGGGGUCGGGUUGUUAUAUUCCAAAGGGAACCUGAGAGUAAAAAUGAGCCUUACAGUCAGGGGGAGUACAAUGUUUACAGCACUUUCCAGAGCCAUGAACCUGAAUUUGAUUAUUUGAAGAGCUUGGAGAUAGAAGAAAAAAUAAACAAGAUCAAGUGGUUACCACAGCAAAAUGCAGCUCACUCGCUUUUAUCAACAAAUGAUAAAACAAUCAAGUUAUGGAAAAUUACUGAAAGAGAUAAGAGGCCAGAGGGGUACAACUUAAAGGAUGAAGAAGGAAAGCUUAAAGAUCUUUCUACAGUAACAUCACUACAGGUGCCUGUGUUGAAACCCAUGGAUUUGAUGGUAGAAGUCACUCCCCGGAGAAUCUUUGCUAAUGGUCACACCUAUCAUGUCAACUCAAUAUCUGUCAACAGUGACUGUGAGACGUACAUGUCAGCGGAUGAUCUCAGGAUUAAUCUCUGGCAUUUAGCAAUCACAGAUAGAAGCUUCAACAUUGUAGAUAUAAAGCCGGCCAAUAUGGAGGACCUGACGGAAGUGAUUACAGCCUCUGAGUUUCAUCCCCAUCACUGCAAUCUCUUUGUCUACAGCAGCAGUAAAGGCUCCCUGAGACUCUGUGACAUGAGAGCAUCGGCCCUCUGUGACAAACAUUCCAAGCUUUAUGAAGAACCAGAAGACCCCAGUAAUAGAUCAUUUUUUUCAGAAAUUAUCUCUUCAGUGUCAGAUGUCAAAUUCAGUCACAGCGGUAGAUACAUGCUAACAAGAGAUUACCUCACUGUCAAGGUUUGGGAUCUGAACAUGGAAACAAAGCCUGUAGAAACGUACCAGGUCCACGAUUACCUUAGGAGCAAGUUGUGUUCCCUCUAUGAAAAUGACUGCAUCUUUGACAAGUUUGAAUGUGCAUGGAAUGGAUCAGACAGUGUCAUCAUGACAGGUGCAUACAACAACUUCUUUCGAAUGUUUGACCGGAACACCAAGCGGGAUGUUACCUUGGAGGCAUCCCGGGAGAGCAGCAAGCCCCGCGCUAUUCUCAAGCCCCGGAGAGUCUGCGUCGGUGGCAAGCGGAGGAAAGAUGACAUCAGUGUUGACAGUUUGGACUUUACUAAGAAGAUCUUGCACACAGCGUGGCACCCGACCGAGAACAUCAUUGCUAUAGCAGCGACAAACAAUCUCUACAUAUUUCAGGAUAAAGUGAACUCAGAAAUGCACUAGGUUUAUCAAUAUCCCUCUGUAUCUACAAACCAGCCUCUCGAGAGUUGUAAAAGGAUGUGAUCUUCACAAAAAUUAGGGCUUCUGUGGUGGGAUUUGUAGGUUGCAUCCUUUCAUCCCUCAGCCUGUAUCAUUACUGGUGGCAAGCCAACUAUUCUCAUCACUGCAACUGUAUGAGUAAAAGGCACGACUGCAAAUCCAGCCCCGUGGUCUGUGUCAGUUCCUUUAAUCCAACAGGGGCACUUACACAUCUGGGGAGUGUUCUGAGGAGGGCUGGGACUCCUCUGCUGCUGUCAGUGCUUUGAGGGUCUCAGUGGUUCACAGGACCACAUCGUUCUGGUGCACUGCCUGCUUCCGCGGCCCACAGAUACCACACUGUUAGAGCUUUUGCUUUAAUCUCUUGAUUAUUUAUUUUUUCCACUAACAUUUUUCUGUCUUUCAACUAAGCCGAGCCUGUUUGUGCGUGAACGAAUGAGUAGCCGCAUCCCUUUGGACCACGUGGCACAUUGGGAAGGCCUCCCAAAUUCCUGCUGGUGAGAAGCUGCCCUGUGUCACCUGUCCCAUUCCCUUCUUUACUCUCUUCCAUUAUUUAUUCCCAUGACUAACUUUGUGCUUCGACUUCCUGACUGAACAAGCAGCAGGCUGCUGGAGUCACUCUGCCAACUUGUUUUAGGAAGUUCAUUCUCCCUCAGUCUCUUUGCUCUGUUUAAUAAUUAGCAGCUUUCCCCCAAACUUGGCAUAACCACUGCACGGGGACUGGCUGCUCAAACACAGCCUAGCGGAGUUAAUCCAUAAACCUACACUGUAUCCUGGGGGUGGGAAUUCUGGAAGCCUUGGCUAACAAUGCUGUCCUUGGAGGCAAAUACUGACUUCAGUGGAAGCAAAGUCACAGCUCUGCUGGACACUUCAGGAAAUUCCGCAUUUGCUCAGUGCAGCACGGUUAUUUUUGUCCUGGCAUAUGGGGAAUGCAGACAAUGCCAUAAUAGCUGUAGCUAUCAAAAGGAUGGCACUGUAAGAGGUGACAUUGCUCAGUGAACUGUGAGGUGUUUCAGUGAGUCCACUGCUGGGUGACGUGGGUAUUCCUGGAGAAAGAGGAAAACACAAGCUCCAGACCAAACCUUCUUCCACAUUACUGUGAGAUCUAUAGCUCUAACAGAUCUGUCUUUGCUUUCAAAUGAACGGGAUGUAAAUGGCAAAUGAAAGGACGUGGAAUUAUGUGCUCCAUUUUGGAAGCCUGUGGGAACAGUGUAGCGGUAGGAAGUCCUCCUCACGCACACAACAGUUCUGUCUGCCUCCCUAACAGCUCUAGAAGAAAAACUGAUAGCCCAAAGGAUUUCUUGGCAGAUCACACACACACAAGUGCACAACUGAGAUGAUUGUGUUAAUGUGCCCAUAUUAAGACUCCUCAGAAAAACAAACAAACAAAACCCCACUUCUUUAAGCCAUCAUGCACUGAUUUCUUUGGUAAGCGGAGAUAAAGGGAUCUGCAUUCUUUUCUAUUUCAGUUUGGAGGAAAGGAUGGGUGAAAAGCUACUUAAAAGACCUGAAAAACAAAGUCCACAGCUCUUUUAUAAGACAUCUUAACACGCCAAACCUGUCUGUUUGAAGUUUUCUACAUCAGUGCUGUAUAUUUUGUGUGUAGAAGCACAAACGCACGUGCAUUGGUUUCCAGCCAUACUAAACACAUACAGUAUGAAACGCAUAGGUUAAUUUUAAAGGGAAUGAGGAAUGUUUGUUUAUAAAAUACUGUAUGCUCUAGCAGGCAUGGGCAGUAUAUGUACAUAUUUAUUCUAAUGAGAUUUAACAAAAUUGCUUUUUUUUUUUUCUUCUUUUCCUCCUUGUAAAAAGGUUUAAGAAUGUGGUAAGUUGUAUAGAAAAGUUGCUAAUGCCAAACUGCUGCUUCAAGGGUGUCAUUCAAUUUCUUUGACUUUUGGCCUCCUCAUUAACCUUCGCAGCUCAAAAAAAAAUUGCUAUGAGCUCAUAUGGGCAUUUACAGGUAGAAGUACUGUAAAACAUAUAUUUAGCCUUUAACUUGCUCAAGUAAGAGAUUAUAGAUAACUUAUUAUAAAGCAGCUCUUAAUACAACUUUUUUUUUUCUUUUUCUUUUUUAAUUUGAAGUACCUUACUCUGUUAUAGCUCUGGGUACCAAAAAGAUCGUGUUAAAAUUAAAUAACUAACUAUAUCUUUGGAGCUUUAUAAACCUAAUGAAACACCCAACCAAAAGAACACAAAGUGAUUACAGAGGACGUAAACAGAAAUCUCUCCAAGACCAGUAUUGAUUCACAUCUUUGACUUUGCUACUACAGUUGUUUCCUGGUCUUCUUGAAUGUACGGAAAGCUAACAUCGUCAUUGUGAACGUUUCCAACUUUCUUUCUCUUUUUAGUUUGAGCUUUCAGUGGUGUAGAGUAAAUGAUGGUAAAGUUGGUAAAUCUGAUUGUUUUGAAAGCUGUUGUUCAUGGCUGCAUUCUUUGUGUUGCACAAAUUAGCUAACUGUUGUUGAAUAAAAAUAUAAAUAUGUUAAUACCAGCUUUUUCAAUAAAAUACAACGAAAAAAGGCACAAGUAGAUGACUUCAAGGCACAGCUUCUUUGUAAGCUAGAUCUGAGAGACUUGUUAGAUUCCUUUUACAAAGCAGGGAGAGUCACAGGGAUCAAGGCAAAUGACUGCAUUGUGUUGGGGCAAGUGGGGAUGCAAAGGUAGAGAGUGAUUUAUUGGCUUAGCACGAUGACCAGUGCAUGCACAGACAGUGCAGCUGGAGAUGCACUUUUGCUUCCCACCUUGGACUGUAGCCCAAGUUAAAUAAUGUUAUGCCUUUAAGAGACGCGAGUCUCAGUCUCCUAUAGAUGGAAUAAGAGAUGCAGAAUGUGAGGGAACGCACAUAAUCACGGGGUGAAAUGGCAGCCAUGUAACCAGCGGCCAGGUUGGGCACCUCCCAUUUCCACUGACCACAGGGGCGGGCGGCUGCUGUGCGUACAGGCCCAGCCUCCUACGUAUUGCAGAGGCUGUCAGCAGAGGAGCAGCCUCCCUCCUCUUCACCCCUUUCCUUCUAGCCUCUGCCCUAGGGUGAUAGAGAACAAGCAACAAAACGCAAACAAGCUGCUUUGGCACACAAACUUAAGGUGAAGAAGGGCUUCACUUCUUAGUUUCAGCUGCUGCCUGAGUUUCCCCUGGUCCCCAUGAGGCUUGCCCCGACCUUGGGCUUUUCUUCUGACUCUCAGCCAGCCAACCCUGCCUGCACGUUCCACAUGGAGCCAGUGGCUUGGGAUGCCUCCUGGACCUCAGCACACAUGUAUUAUACCCCGAGAGGCUGAGUCAGCCCCUUUGCUGGAUGCAGACCAGAAUGCAUUGGCCUCUGCUGUUAGAUGAGGCAAUAUAAUGCUUGCACAGCUCUCCCAGAGCUUACAUGCUAAUUCCACCCUCCCCCCCUUGCUUCUUGUGAAGACCCAGUCAAUCCCCCUCAUUUAGGUGGACAAAUAUGACUAGGUACUGAAGAGAGGAAUCUCAGCUGAAAACCAACACAUCAAGCAAGUCACUAUUUACCUUUCUAGUUUCCUUUUUUAUCCCUAAAUGCCUAGCACAAGCAGAAUCCAGAUGGUCAACUUGUCUGCUCUUGAAAUAUUCACAAAAGCCUAUUUAGUAGCAGCAUACAGCAAUUUAACUCUUUGUGGAAUGGGGAUGGGGGAACACUGAUAUGAUCUGCUUGGUUCUCCCGUUUGUAGCCAGCAGGUCACCCUGCUUUGAGGCAGAGUUGUAUCCUUUGCACCCUUCCAAGGUUGCGAUAAGUAAUCAUUGGCAAGGGGGCAAGUAUAAGGAUUGUUUUCACUAACAUUAUUACCAUCAAUUUGCUCUCACUCCCAAUGGUAAACCUUUUCCGUUUGCUGUCUUCUCAGUAAGUUGCAUUAAGUCUAAAAUUAGAGCUGGAAUUCACUUAUCUUUCCCAUGUGGUAGAACCUCAAAAGGCAAUAGGAUUACUGGAGGGGAUAAAGAAUUGGACCUAAUUUUGUAAGAUGCUUGGAACAGGGCAUGGUUCUUUGGUUUUGUGAAGUCAUGAAACAGAAUGGAUGUUCUAAGUACAUGGCAGUUUGACAUGCAUCCUGGAAGGCGUUGCUUUGGGAGUGAAAGCUUUCAAUAGCAGCGAUUUUCUUGUUUUAAUUCUCUCUGAAAUUGGACUAGGAUCAAACUUUUACUCACAAAAAGCCUCGGACCACACAGCGUGGCCAGAAGCCACUAAAAGCACACCGGGUCCCACCCGCAGGCAGCAGGAGCAACUAUGGUCGGCGUGAUGGUGAGUGCCCAUCAUCUCCCCAUCUCCUCGGCUGUCACAGAGGAGCGACCCAUUGGCCAAUGCAACGUAUUUCAAGUGGAAGAUUUAAAGAAUCAGAGAGAUUGUAUCUUAGCAACCACCAGGGCAUGAAGAAAGCAGUUUAACUAUUUAAGUUUUUCAAUUAAAAGAUCCACCCCAAACAUGCACAGCCCACAGGGCCAUCGCAGUGCUGCGCUGGGAAGGACGAAGUGACCCUGAGCCAUGUCCCUUCCCAGCACAGACAAGCUGGGCGGUGGCAUAGCCCAUGCCUACAGCAACAGAUCUCCUGCAGGAGCUGAAGCAUGGGAAGGGCUUCUUUUUGCAGAGAAACCCUGAGGUUUUGUUACCUGGUCUCAUAGGAGCCAAAGCAAGACUUCCUGGUUUCCAAGAAUAGAAAGCUCCCACAAUAAAAACCCAGAGUGAAACAGGCACAGAUUGACCUUCAUGAGAUGACGUGAUGCAUCUUCUCCCUGCUUUGUGCAGCCUAGAGACCUUUCCCUCAGUUCUCAGUUUCCCUCCUCUACAAACUGUAGUUACUUCAUGCAGAAAGGUAGGUCUUGUUCCAUAGCUGUACUCCUUAGCCAGCCCUGGAAGCAAGUCAGAGAACACUGGACAUUGCAGGGCAGGCAUUUGCAGACUUCUGUGGGACUGAGAAAGGUGGCAACUCUCGUCCUUCCUACUCUUGCCUCACGGAUGCACUGUGUUGGAUAAACUUAAUGUAAUAAGGCAAAAUUAAAGCAAAAAAGAAAUACUGCCAGGACAGCUACCAGUCCCAAAGAGGACCAGUGCUGGAUGAGAACUGUGAUAUAAGGCACAGUACAUGCAUGACUCAAUGUAUUUAUUUGUGCUCUAAGCUGCAAGAAAGAUGGGCUGCCCUGGGCUAAAGAAACUCCAGGAUAUAGGAUUGAAAGAUUCGCAUGGAGACCCACUUUUUAAACAACCAUCAGUUGAACCGUUACUAGAAGCUGCAUUAGGAGAGAUUUAUGAAUCAUCCAUUUACAACUCCAGGAAAGCAUCUUCUGUAAAGAGAAGACUGAAAAAUUCGUUUAUUGCAAAACCAUUUGCUGGGAUCAUCAUCUGUCUCUAGUGCCAGUGGAUGCACACACAAGCAGUGCUCGGGCAGUCACUGGAUGUGGUGACUGUGACAAAUUUGGCCAAUUCCUUAAAUAUAUUUCUUGCCAGUAUGUGCUUCAAACAAUAUUUAGCACCAGAAUUGACUGAAAUUGCUUUUCACGGCACCAAGAAAUAAUCUGGAUUUUGACUGAGCAUUCUGAACUUAAAUUAUUAUUAGAUUAUUCAGACGGUGAUAUCCACUCUGACCUUGGGCUGGCAGUUUGAGCUUUGAUUCCACACAGAUUCUUGAUCAGAAUUCCAUCUGUUCAAGCAGACUUUCAGAGCAUCUAAGCCCUAUUAGAAUAACAUUUCCAUUACCUAAUUAAUUGUUUGAAGCUAUCCUCAGUGAUUACUUAUUGAAGUUAUAGUUUGUCACCUGAGGCAACAGCAUGUGUUGUUGUCGUGGAAACAUCUCUGCUGUCACCAGCUCUGAAUAGUGAGGGAGGAACAGCAGAGGGAACUGAAGAAGCAAGGCUUUGUUGAAAUGCCUCACUCUUGAAAGUGAAGAAAUAUUUCAGAUAAAGCCUGGCCACACAGAGGCCCAAACCUCUGCACACUGAUCUCUGGGAGAGGAGGGGUCAGCGGGUUCAGUUUGAGCCCUUUCUCCUGCAGCGUGACGCAGCUGCCCCGCACUGCCAUCUCCCAUGGCCAACAGCAACAUCUACAGGGCCCUUCCUGAUGCCAAAGCUGCUGUUGUUGCAGAAGGAUCCUGCUGUCCUCAGAAACAGAACUCUGUAACAACCCGCUAUCACCUCUCUGUUUCAUUUAGAAACUAUUAAAACUCACUUUUGGGAUUUGUUGUAUCAGCCUUUAGCUGGAGUGUGACCGUCACACAGCCCUUUGCUUUCCCCACAUCUGUGCAUUCAUUUCUAGGGUGUGCAUAACUAAAGCAAGAGCUGCAGCUAGGAUUCCCCUUAAAACAGCUCGUCUUCUACUAAGUUUUAAUUAAACACUGACACAGAUUCUCUCACCUUGUUGUUCAGGUUUAUUAACAGAAAGUUAAUAGAAGGAUUUAAUCUAGAUAAGCCCUGAUAUUUUUGCAGCUAACACAUGGAAGUAGCAGAGAAUGCCAUUUCUACCAGAAUGGACAUUGGGACUGCACAUUGUGGCCACACAAAUUACAAGAGAAAACAAUGCAGAUUAACACCACCACAUUUGUGUUACAAAAACCUCCUCUACAAGCUGCUAAACUACAAGGAAGCCAGAGAGUGCCUCUCACAAGAUAGCCGUGCCCUGUUUCCUACACUCUUAGUUUAUCAUUACACAGUACGCUAUCACAUUAGUACGGUCUUAGAUUGUAGAAACCCUGUGUCAACAACUUUGCUAGUUAUUACUUGUAACUUGGGGGGUGGCUCGAAAUUGGGCCUAUACAUAGCUUUCUAUUUUUUUACGAAGUGUUUACUAAUCGCAUUUUCUCCCUGAAAUGGAGUAAAAGCAGAAUGCGAUUCUUUUGUUCACCGCCAGUGCCCUCUGGAGACAGCAGCUGAGGGACGGAAAAUGCAAAGUGAAACUGGAGUGCCACCUGAUGGCACCGCGUUAAAACCACACAGGUUAUGCGGUCGCAAGAGAAAGGGCAGGUGCCCCAUAAAAUACACGGAAAAGUACCAUCUUCUUGCAAAAAUUACCAAAGAUGUUAAGCAAACAAGCACACAAAGGCCCCAGAUACAAAAAGAUCCCAACCUAAUGCUGAAAUGCAAGAAGUAGGUGAUUUACCUCAUUGCAAAGGUUGAAAGUUCCACCUCCCCGCUGCAUGAUGCUGUAGGAGACCAGAUUUUAAGAUGACAGCAUUCUGAACACCAUAUGCCCACACAACUAAUUAUGUGCAAAUCUGCUUCAAGUUAUACUUCAUAGGCAAUGAACGUUUCAGUUCUUGUCCUGGCCGCGUCUAGUGGGUUUUGCAAUAUGACCUCGGAAGAGAUACGCCUAAAAGCCGGCAAUAAAACAUCAUGUUACUGUGAUCACCACGUCAAGCAGUAACUUCCAAAGAGCAACCCACUGCACCAUUCCCUCUGCUUUUAUACUGAAUUUCUCCUGUUGCCAAGUGUUUCUUUACCUGUUUUCCAGCCACAGUCUCCCAGCAGCAAUCCCAGCCACACAGUGCCAUCAAUAAAAGUUGUACCAGCUCUAAGCAGAACUCCCAUCCACGUCAGAGCCAGGAGAACAGGGACAUCAACACACCAAAACACUGGAGCAGGCAUUUCUGCACAUAUCCUGGUCUUAUUUUCUUUACUACUCACAGGUGGGAAAGCUGAGAACUAAUUGUGCUCAGCCUCACUCGUUAUAUCUAUCUUCCUACACUAAACUUUGGGAAAAGCCCUUUCAUUUUUUCUUUGUAACGGGUUCAGCAGAAGGGGGGAAGGUUGCAGCAGACUAUGAGUGUUCUUGGGGAGACUAUUCAGGCAGACCCAUUGCAAUGGGGUGGAUUUCUUCUGCAUGAAGCUAACUGAACCAUCUCCAAACAGGUCAUACCAUCAGUCUCCAGGCCUACACCUAUCAGCCCAGAUCAGGCUGCAUAUGUCUGGGCUGCAGAGUCAGCCUUAAAUUACUAGUGUUUCACUGCUUCUGUAUGUGUGUGUUUGAACAUAGGGGCCCUCUGUCUGCAGCCAACUGUGGGAAAACUCUCUUGUUCUUCUGAAGGAGUAGUGAGAACACACUGGAAAACAGAGUUUUGCUGCUUUGUUUUCUGUCUUGAAAAGGAGGAAUUCAUGUUCCAACGCAGAGGCCAUCUGGGCAACAACAAAGAGGGGGACUGAGGCUAAGAAAGUCUACCUGACAAAAGAGGUAGGGGAUGGACUACCAGCAUCUACUCCUGAGGAUACAAGGCUUUGUCAGGGAAGCUCCAGGGGUGUGUUUUAUAAGAUGUAGGCAAACUAAAGUGUCAAAUGGCUCUGUUGCAAAAACUAUGCAUGGACUGACUAUACCUAUAAACAUGCUCCACCUUAUUCAUGUGCUCAGCUUGCACCUGUUUCUUGACUGAAGUGCUGAAUACCAAUAAGCUCCUACUGUUUUGUUUAUAUUUUGUCUUGGGAAGUGUGAUAACACAUGCUUUUUCAGUAGAAGAGCAAAGAAAUUGCUGGCCUCGUUAUCAGUUUCAGCCCUUCAGAGAAGAGAUUCCAAGAAACUUCUUACUCAAAUAAGAAUGUGCGCUAAAUCACUACUGCACAAACCAUAGGAAAUCAUGUCAGACAAAAAUGCUGAGAAGGGUGUGGUGAUGCUGCAGUCUUACCAAAGCUGCCAGGGGGAAGAUCUGUACUGCAUCCUUCCCUCUGAACCAAUGUAAAAUAUUUUGUAAAGGAAGGUUCUGUAUUCAUGUCUGCCUUCAGAACCUGUGGUUCAAGUUGACUGGAGAUGAUGAAAAUGCAAGUUUUCUCAGUGCAGAACAUCCUUCCUUUCUGGGAGGAUGAAUCCCAUUUUUUGUACAUCAUGUUAUAACUUACAUGAGGAAGAAGCAGGAUGCUUAUGACCUUUUAUUUUUUCAGGACAAAAGCUAAUUAAAGCUUUUGAGUAAUAGAAGGCAAGUGAAGGAACCAUCUUAAAACAUAUAAAAAAAACCCACAUAAUUUGAUUGUUUGGUUCUAGCCAUUCUUAUUAGCAUUUUAGUAAACUGUGCAGGUAUGUAGGAGUAGUUAGAGCAGUCAUAAUACCUAUUUACAAGUCGGCAUCUUGCAGAUGUUAAGAGUGUACUCACAGUCCUGAAAUCUAUUCUGCCUUUUUUUAGGGAAAGUAGAGAACGGAUGAAAAGAGACGGAUGAACACGGGUGCGCUCUGGAAGGUGGUCUUUUAUGUCAAAGGCUCAGGCACAACCGUGUAAAGCAGUGCUGUGCUUCCCUUUCGUUAACAUUCUUAUCAUCAUGUAUUUCUAAAAAUUGCAAGCCAAUUUUUAAUUAAUUAAUAGCAAUUGUAUGGCACUUGAGAAGAUCAAGUUUGUUUGAGGAAAUAAAAAACAUUUUGUUCUGACAGAUGUACUGCUUUCCUUCUCCAGAAGCAUCGGGCAAAAUGCAAAGUAUAAACUCCUUGCAUUCCUUCCAAUAGCAAGAGUCUGUUAGUCAUUACAGAGCAGGCUUUUAAAUUAUUCAGAAUUUCUAUACGUGCUGAAUUGUUUUUCCUGUGCUUAUGGAAGAAUGUACCAGUUUGAGAACAAGAGGUACUUUUCCAUGUUACUUACAGGAUAGAAUUCAAAUAAUGAAUAUUUACUUUUCUCUAAAUUCUAUAUAUUUUAAAUACUAUACUGAGCUUACAGAAGAACCCAAUUUAGAUGUGUCAAUAGCCAUGUAAUAUCCUCCUCCUCAUCAUCAGUUAAUUAAUAAUAAUCCAAAAGAUUGAAUUAUUAGCCUAGAGAAAGGACACCUAUCUUUGGAACGGUUUGUAAUUCAUCAUGUCUUCAAAACUAAGAAAGAAAAUAAUAAAUGUAGAAUUAAUUGAAUAAUUAACAGCAGCUGCCACAUUAUCAUAGAAUCGUAAAAUCACCGAGGUUGGAAAAGACCUCCAAGAUCACCCAGUCCAACCAUCUGCCUAUCACCAACAGUUCUCACUAAACCAUGUCCCUCAACACAACGUCUAAACAUUCUUGAACACCUCCAGAGUCAGUGACGCCGGCAAAUCCCUGGGCAGCCCAUUCCAGCACCUGACCACUCUUUUGGAGAAGAAAUAUCUGCUAAAAAAGUUUCAGAACACUAUUACUAGACAGAUAAGAAAAUGGAGUACUUACACAUCAUGUUACUGUUACACUAUCUUAAAUUCCCAUUAAAAAAAUAGAAGUACUAUGGAACACUUGAGAACUGGACAACAAAGGACAGUAUUAAAAGGUUCUGAAGUCAAAUGUACCUCCCCUUUCCCUUUCAGACACACAGAAGAGCCACAAAAAUUAUGUAUGGAAAAUGACCUAUGUGCUACCGUUCAGAUCUAUCCCUCUCUGCUGGAAAGGACCACCUGACAAAAUCAAACUGUCCCCAUCAAGCAGGGUUGAGCCCCUCUGUGCUUUCCCUACAAUUCCUUUCAGACUCCGAGGUCUUGGCCUAGUCUCUUUUCAAAAGCAUCACAAGCUGGAAUUCUAUUUUGCUGUUAGUGAUACAUCACUUUUCCACCUGUUGUCCCUUCUGAUAGCACACUCAUGACAUUAGGCCAAAGACAGAAUUAUUCCACUCACAGCGCUUGUCAGCCCAUACCUCUACUUUUAGGAAAUAGCAAUUUCUUCAGUACUAUUCACAGAAAAUAUCAAAUCAAGAAUUUAACCUUCUGGACCUGCGUUCAGCUUCGUUAACAUAAAGCUGUACUUGUUAGUGCACCUCCACAUUUUCUGCAAAUACAAGGAGGGAGGAAACUCCACACAGUUUGCUUCAUGACAAAAACCCAAGUUCUCCUUUAAGAAGCUCUCACCUCUGUAUUAAAUAAGGCAGUGUUUUAUUAUAAGGAAAAAGUGACUAUAGGAGCAAAGAUUAGCAAAAAUACUUUUAUGCCAUUCCUACCAUAUUGUCAUCUUGUGCCAGAGGUUCUCUGCUGCUACAGUGAGUUGGUCAAGACUGUUUUCUUACCUCCCUAAGGUCUGGAAGCUGACAUAGGCACUAAGCACUACGGGGGCAGUUCCCAGCUCCCUGAUGUCACUGGGAUUCACAUUCCUACUGAGCAGUUCAUCCUGGGCUAAAGUGCAAAGACAGCCAAAGAUUAGAGCAGUUGCAUGCAGAUAGCAGUUUUAGACAGUUUUGCUCACCUAACUUGUCACUACUUAACAGGUGAACUAUUUUUCCCUUGUAACAAUAAUACGCCCAUAUCUCCUAACAAUUUCCUAAGAAAAUGCUAACCUAGAAUUCUCAAAGUUGUUGGAGUUCAGCCUGUAAUAGUAUUGUUAUAGAUGGGAACUGAAUUACCUGGAGUAAGCCUUUUGUCUCAGUGACAGAGCGACCAUUUCCAAAGAAAUCAGCAAAGCCAUGUACCUCUUCUUGCAACACUUUCCACAUCUGACUUCAUCACAUUUUCCCAGGAUAUGUAACAACUUCUUCAAAACACACCAGUUAGCCAAUAAAUUGACAUCUUCUGCAGAGUAAAAGCUUAAAAAAAAAGAUGCUGCUUUUUUUUUCCCUCCUGACAAACAUAUGAAUAGAAGUUUCAAAAUUAUGCAUAUAUAAGGAAAUAGCAAAAAUGCAUCUUUAGAGCUUAACAUUUCAGAGCGAGGAAGACCAUUUAGUUAUUCAAAAAGAGCCUACUGAUAGUCUAGAAAAAAAAAAUAAGGAAAAGGCAAAGUUUUGCUUUUUCCAGCCGAAAGCCAAGAGGAGAUCAGGUAAACUAAUCUUUGCCAAAAUUUGCAUUUGCCUGCAACCUUAUACUAUUUCUUUUCUCCAAGGCUGACAGUUUUCAAAACUAAAAGCACCUUUAGGACACGAUUCUACUUCAACUACUCCAGUGUGACCAGGUCUGUAACACCAGGCUCAGCUAAGUGCCUGGGAUGCUGGUACCUUGCUUGCAGAUGUCUUUGGAUUCUUUCUAUUUGCAGCUUGAUCCUGGCAUUCAAGAGGGUGUCAAUGACUGGAGUGCAGCCAAAUGUCUCAUUUUUCUAGGUUUCUCCUUCUCUGUCAGUUUUCAGUGACUGUUUCCCUCAUGCUCUCCAAGCUUACGACAAGUAUAGAAAAGCAAAAAGGAUAUUAAUGUAGAAUUACUGAAAGAGAAGUCAGGGAAAUAGCACGUUGCAUGUGAUACAUAAUGUCACCCAAAGACUUAAAAGGUAGUAAGUCACAAUGAAAGCAAAACUUGCAGUAUAUCUAGAUUUUACAGUAACAAAAAUUUGGCCUGGUAUACUCCAGUUUUACUGCUAGCUUGAAAUAAUGUGAAGUACAACGUCAGG
Numida meleagris (helmeted guineafowl) is the source of this 14033-nucleotide RNA transcript. It is a transcript of the gene named protein phosphatase 2 regulatory subunit Bgamma, with no coding region annotated. The record is from RefSeq and is a predicted model, not a curated record. The transcript is spliced from 10 exons. Lineage: Eukaryota; Metazoa; Chordata; Aves; Galliformes; Numididae.